This is a small nuclear RNA of Pteronotus mesoamericanus, 187 nucleotides long. RefSeq annotates it as U2 spliceosomal RNA. The record is from RefSeq and is a predicted model, not a curated record. The transcript has a single exon. NCBI's taxonomy places the organism in Eukaryota, Metazoa, Chordata, Mammalia, Chiroptera, Mormoopidae.
ACUGCUUCUUAACCUUUUGCUAAGAUCAAGUGCAAUAUCUGUCCUCAGUUUAAUACCUGAUAUGUCCUUUAUCCAAGUACAACAUAUUAAAUGAAUUUUCGGAAUUAAGAGAUGGAAUAAGAGCAUGUUCUGUCCACUCCACACAUCAACCUGGUAUUACAGCAUUUUCAGGAAUGGUAUACACACA